This 250-nucleotide ribosomal RNA is filed under the name uncultured bacterium. RNAcentral's name for it is "partial 16S ribosomal RNA". It matches the Rfam family "Bacterial small subunit ribosomal RNA", at positions 524 to 774 of the family's 1533-position model. The record is from RNAcentral.
UACAGAGGGUGCGAGCGUUAAUCGGACUUACUGGGCGUAAAGGGCGCGUAGGCGGUUAGUUAAGUGAGAUGUGAAAUCCCUGGGCUCAACCUGGGACGGUCAUUUUAAACUGGCUAACUUGAGUGCAGUAGAGGGGAGUGGAAUUUCCAGUGUAGCGGUGAAAUGCGUAGAUAUUGGAAGGAACAUCAGUGGCGAAGGCGCUCCCUGGACUGUAACUGACGCUGAGGCGCGAAAGCGUGGGGAGCAAACG